RNAcentral lists this ribosomal RNA (822 nucleotides) under uncultured marine bacterium. Its description in RNAcentral is "bacterial SSU rRNA". It matches the Rfam family "Bacterial small subunit ribosomal RNA", at positions 60 to 861 of the family's 1533-position model. The record is from RNAcentral.
AGUCGAGCGAGAAUCCUGUGAUUGAUCCUUCGGGUGAAGUCACAGGAGGACAGCGGCAAACGGGGUAGUUAGGCGCAGGUUACGUACCCUCUGGUUGGGGAUAGCCACGGGAAACUGUGGGUAAUACCCAAUGAUCCGUCGUGUUGUAAUGACGUGGCGGCAAAGGUGAGAUUCCGCCGGAGGAGCGGUCUGCGUGGUAUUAGCUUGUUGGUGAGGUAAUGGCUCACCAAGGCGAAGAUGCCUAGGGGGUGUGAGAGCAUGGCCCCCACCACUGGGACUGAGACACUGCCCAGACACCUACGGGUGGCUGCAGUCGAGAAUCUUUGGCAAUGCACGCAAGUGUGACCAAGCGACGCCGAGUGCUGGAUGAAGGCCUUCGGGUUGUAAACAGCUGUCAGAGGGGAUGAAAUUGUUGGGGGCUAUCCCCCUUCAUUGACAGAGCCUCAGAGGAAGCGCGGGCUAAGUUCGUGCCAGCAGCCGCGGUAAUACGAACUGCGCGAACGUUAUUCGGAAUCACUGGGCUUAAAGGGUGCGUAGGCGGCCUGUUAAGUAGGGUGUGAAAUUUGUCGGCUCAACCGGCAAACUGCAUUCUAAACUGGCAGGCUUGAGUGAGUCAGGGGUGUGCGGAACUUCCGGUGGAGCGGUGAAAUGCGUUGAUAUCGGAAGGAACGCCGGUGGCGAAAGCGGCACACUGGGGCUUUUCUGACGCUGAGGCACGAAAGCUAGGGGAGCGAACAGGAUUAGAUACCCUGGUAGUCCUAGCUGUAAACGAUGAAUACUGGGUUGGGGGAGCAUGUCUCUCCCAGCCGUAGCGAAAGCGUU